This 37-nucleotide transfer RNA is filed under the name Trisetum flavescens. RNAcentral describes it as "partial tRNA-Leu". The record is from RNAcentral. Lineage: Eukaryota; Viridiplantae; Streptophyta; Magnoliopsida; Poales; Poaceae. RNAcentral also lists the same sequence under 3 other names.
AAUCCGUCGACUUUAUAAGUCGUGAGGGUUCAAGUCC